GGGAACUACAAGCCAAGCUUAAAACCCAAAGGACUCGACGGUACCCCAUAUCCCCCUAGAGGAGCCUGUCCUGUAAUCGAUAACCCCGGUUUAACCUCACCAUUUCUAGUAAUUCAGCCUGUAUACCUCCGUCGUCAGCUUACCACGUGAGCGUCAGUGAGCCUAAUGUUCAUCCAACUAUACGUCAGGUCAAGGUGCAACACAUGUAAUGGGAAGAGAUGGGCUACACUUUCUAAUUUAGAACACACGAAAGACUAUUUAUGAAACCUAGUUAGAAGGCGGAUUUAGAAGU
Molecule: ribosomal RNA, 292 nt
Filed under: Minyobates steyermarki (demonic poison frog)
Lineage: Eukaryota; Metazoa; Chordata; Amphibia; Anura; Dendrobatidae
Description: partial 12S ribosomal RNA
Rfam family: Bacterial small subunit ribosomal RNA
Source: RNAcentral